Non-coding RNA from Podarcis lilfordi (Lilford's wall lizard), 3611 nucleotides. Lineage: Eukaryota; Metazoa; Chordata; Lepidosauria; Squamata; Lacertidae. The record is from the annotation of a GenBank genome assembly.
GUAAGUGAAACCUUUUGAAAGAGGUAUCCAUGUGUACAGUGUUUCUAGAACAGUGUGGUAUGAGGAGGAAAGUUCAGCUUUCAAGUUGUUCUCAGGUGACAUCUACAUACAUCACCAUAUUAAAACAAUAGUUGUACUAGAGUAAAAUACCUGUUCAUAUCUUAAGAAUAGAUACUGCUGUGCAGUUGUGGGGAAGGGAGGGCAAAUGGAGAAGAAUCUGUACAGUCUCUCUCAUCUGCUGUUUCUUGUAUUGGUUUCCAGGAGAAGACAGAGCAUAAGCCCUCGUGAAAUAUAAGGUGCAGUGUUUGGCCAUGUCGGUGGCCUUCUCCCCGUUGGUGGAUGAAGCAGUGGCCUUAGCAACCAUCUCCUCUCUGGGGAGCGGAGAGAAUUCUUUCUCCCUCUCUUCCUGCCCCUCAGGUGUGGCCACUUCACUGCAUGAAGUAUGUUUGCACAUGUUUCACAGUAAAAUAGCCCCCAGAGCACUUCAAAGUACUUCACAGAGCUGUAAUUUCAGCUGCUCUGGGGAAUCCUUUAUUGUGGCACUUCCACGAGCAAAUUCCAACUACUGGCAUUUCUCGGAGCUAAUUCUUGUGUGAAUGAAUCCUAAAAUCGGCUUCUUUCAAACGAGAGUCCAAAACUUUUCCGUUUCAUAAGUUCAUUAGUACCAGUGAAUGGGUUCCAACUGCAAAUGCAGUAUUAGGAAAACUUGGCAGUUUCUGUUUAUUAAAUGCAAGUAAAAUAAACAUGCCCAUUUCUGGGGAAAAUUGUGGAACACCAACAUCACAGAGAGAAUCUGAAGAAAACUUGGGGAAGGUGGUCAGUGGGACAGAUGGCAAUAGAAGGGAAAGCGGCAAUCAGUUUCUUCUAAACUGAAAAGGAGAAAGAUGGGGAUGUUAGAGUGCUUUAAGUCCUAGAAAUUUGCCACUUUCUGUUGCAGUGUUCAAGCAGUUCCUCCAGUUGACAGUUACCAGGGAGUUGCUGCCAAGCGUCUUUCUCAAUGCCUGCCUUCGAAAUCUACCCUGUCCUGGGCACAUCUCACAGUCCUGUCUUAAAAAUGCAACAACUCAAGCUUUCUUCAAGAGGCAGCAAUAUAUUAAAGUGCAGUGAUGUCGGUUUUCGGGGGAGGGGGGGCUGAAUUGAGACUUAUUUUUUUUUUGCAUCAGGACAGGGGGAAAAUUGGUUGGCAUAAGAAAAUACUCUCACAUGCUGGGGUGUGAUCUAAUUUAGCACAAUCAGUUUGCUUGUAUUUAUUAGACAAAGCAAAAAAGUAUUACAUUCCUAGCUUGCCUAGUAUUGUAUUUGCAACUGGCAUCCAUUCAUUUUCUGCAAAUGAGCUUACAAAAAUGGGAUUUCUGCAUAGGAAAAUGAAGCCCCAUAAUUUUUUCUGCCCCAUGCUGCUGGAUUUUCUAAACUCAAUUCUAUAUACAUCAACGUUUGUAAGCAAUUUAACACUAGUGACAACAUUCCAAGCAGUAACCAGGUGUUUACUUUGAAAACGUGAACCCUAGGAGGUAUUUCUACCCGACUUAAAGUCUAUCUUAAUUCUUUUUAGGGAGAAUUGAAGAAUGUGGGGCAGAGCUUAAUGUGAACCUUCUUGAAGUCCUUCUGCAAUUUUCUAGUUCUCUGUCUCUUAAGUUUAUAUGAAUGCGAUCAAAGUUGAUAGGUACUUGUGGGUCAGAAAUUCUUUCUGUUCCAAUUUCCAUCUAUUCCCCCCUCCCCUGCUCACCCCCACUUGCUGCCUGAAACCUUGUGUAAUAUUUAUCUUGGUGCUAGAAUGUUUCUGGAAUACUUGAGGUAAAUUGGAUGAGGCAUUUGGGAGAUAAGAGGGUUCAACAAAAGGGGUGACUUCACUUCUUGAAUAUUCUUCAACUCUGCGUGAGUUCCCUAACCACUUGGCUCACAACUUUUCUAAUCUUUUGCUUUUAGUGGGAGUUAAUAAAUUGGGCCAGCUCUCAUGUGGAAGUUGGCAAGUCUUAGUGUUAGGUACAUAUUUAAUUGCAGCCUUUAUCUCUCAAAUGCUAGGAUAAAUUGCAGGGGCAAUGCCAUGUUUCCAUAGAUGUGGGAGGAGAGGCAUGGGUUGUGCAACUUUGCAAUAAUUUAUUCUGGGUUGCUUAGCCGCAACCUGUAUCGUUUGCUGUUGUUCCUCUCUUCGUUGUGUUACCAUUCCCGCCAGUUACACUUCCGCUGGGGUUUUGUUUUUUUAAAAGGGAUUGUUCAACGUGUUCUCUAGGGGCUGAGGGCCAUGGCUGCAUGCUUGCACUUCAUAGUACUGCCUUGUUUAACACAAAACAGCAUUUGUGAUGUGCUCAUUCUCCCAUCUAGUUGGUCAAUAGCUCUUGACAGAUGGGAGAGUGAGAACUAUUUGUACAGCCUGUAAAGUGCAGGAACAAAAUGCAGGACUGUCUUCCUCCCAACAGUUAGUGUUAUUUCUUAAAGUUUGAAGGAGAAUGAGCAAGUGUUGCAUGCGAUCAUCCUAGCACAACCUGCCCGUGAUCUGCACGUGUCUUUAUCCUUACGUGAGGUUCCUGCUUGUCUCUGGUGGAAUUUUUAAAAUGCCAAUGCUAAUGCAUUUGUUUUGUACAACAGGGCACUCAACAUCUUGUCUGCCAUAACUCAAAUACUGCACGCAGGUUGGACGAUGCACGUGGUUGAAAAGUUGUUUAUGUAGAACUUGCACUGUGCAAAGUGCUUUAGAAAAGCCUUGCUCAUCAUAAUCGUAUGAGGUAUAUUUUUCAGAUUUUGCAGAUGACAAAAUAAGACUGUGUAGCUGAAAAUCGUUUUGAGAGUUCAUAAGAGCUGAGGUGGAAUUUGGCCUUUUAGAUCAUGGGUGAGUGGUGUAGCUUCACAUCAUUAGCUUUGUGAAACCAUGAUAUAUUUGUAAUUGGUUUUCAUCUCGGGGGGGCCUAGUUGCUGCAAAAUUUGGACAUUGGGGUAAGGUGUAAAGGAAGGAAUGGGUUGUGUUAUAGGUGAUGGAGCUCAUACAAAUUAAAAGUCAUAUAAUUCAAAACUAGUUAUACAGCAGACCCCUAAUGUCUCUUUGGCUUUUCUCUGUUUUCUAAGCAAUUACUUCUGCAUCUUCAAGCUUUCUCCUUGACCGUGAAGGCUAAACCACCUUAAAAUUUUCAAGUUUGUAUGUUCCUGCCAGAUUUUUCAUCUUGUGCUGGCAUGUGGCACAACUCACAAUCCACUGUAGGCUGAUUCCCUUUUGGAGAAGCACAAGUUUGGCCCUAAUGUUGCACACGAGCAUAACUGGAAAACCUCCAAGAUGUGACUUAAUACCUUAGCAAUACUGCAUAGAAGUUUAUUUACUUGGGACGUGGAGCUCUGGAACAUAAGCAAAAAAGAUACAGGGCUCUGUCCCAAGGAGCUUGCAGUCUGAUGUUUUGAUAGGAGUGGAGAUGAUAAAAGGAGGACCGGAGAGGGAUGUGCAAGCACUUCAUGGAAUAAAUAGUUUUUGAGGGAGACAUUUGAAGAAAGAGUGAAGUAGUGCCCAGAAGUUUACAACAUUGGGCCUUGUUCUUUGCAAUCUGUGUGCCCAUAUUGCAGCAGAAUCUGUGGUUAAUCUUGUUCCCAAGUAAUGGUAAUUGAGUUUACACUGAAGUGAAAGUUAG